RNAcentral lists this ribosomal RNA (440 nucleotides) under uncultured bacterium. RNAcentral describes it as "partial 16S ribosomal RNA". It matches the Rfam family "Bacterial small subunit ribosomal RNA", at positions 338 to 795 of the family's 1533-position model. The record is from RNAcentral.
CCUACGGGAGGCAGCAGUGGGGAAUAUUGCACAAUGGGGGAAACCCUGAUGCAGCGACGCCGCGUGAGCGAUGAAGUAUUUCGGUAUGUAAAGCUCUAUCAGCCGGGAAGAAAAUGACGGUACCUGACUAAGAAGCCCCGGCUAACUACGUGCCAGCAGCCGCGGUAAUACGUAGGGGGCAAGCGUUAUCCGGAUUUACUGGGUGUAAAGGGAGCGUAGACGGUCCUGCAAGCCAGAUGUGAAAGCCCGGGGAUCAACCCCGGGACUGCAUUUGGAACUGUAAGGCUAGCGUGUCGGAGAGGCAGGCGGAAUUCCUAGUGUAGCGGUGAAAUGCGUAGAUAUUAGGAGGAACACCAGUGGCGAAGGCGGCCUGCUGGACGAUGACUGACGUUGAGGCUCGAAAGCGUGGGGAGCAAACAGGAUUAGAUACCCGAGUAGUC